RNAcentral lists this long non-coding RNA (365 nucleotides) under Macaca mulatta (Rhesus monkey). Its description in RNAcentral is "lncRNA (ENSMMUG00000053971.1)". The record is from RNAcentral. Lineage: Eukaryota; Metazoa; Chordata; Mammalia; Primates; Cercopithecidae.
AUUUCUGCAUGUGUCACAGAGGCAUCCUUUGGUUCUAAAGGGAGCUGAGUUGGAUUCCACAAGCGUAUGGUCCUUGUAGCAUGUGAAUAGGAUUCAGUCACGGACGAGAAGGAAGGGUUCGGGGAGACUGUCACCGCCCUGUCCAGGCUAACACUCCAGCUGCCCAGGUGACAGGCUGGCCUGUGUUUGUGUUGUAUUUCAGAGGAGAGCCUGGUGUCACUUACAGCAGACAUUGCAGAUGCCUCAGCAUUUCGGAUGAAGACGUAACCAAGGAGCCUUUGAUUAGUAGUGAAAUUGUGGCACCCCAACAAUGGUGGAGUGGAAUAUCCUGCUACUCUGGAGGGGUGAUGGCUCAGGGUCAAGAC